AACGUAGGAGGCGAGCGUUAUCCGGAUUCACUGGGCGUAAAGCGCGUGUAGGCGGUUCGGCAAGUCGGUUGUGAAAGCCCCUGGCUCAACUGGGGGAGGUCAGCCGAAACUGCGGGACUGGAGGGUCAGAGAGGAAGGUGGAAUUCCCGGUGUAGCGGUGGAAUGCGUAGAGAUCGGGAGGAACACCAGUGGCGAAGGCGGCCUUCUGGCUGACCACUGACGCUGAGACGCGAAAGCGUGGGUAGCAAACGGG
This 253-nucleotide ribosomal RNA is filed under the name uncultured bacterium. RNAcentral's name for it is "partial 16S ribosomal RNA". It matches the Rfam family "Bacterial small subunit ribosomal RNA", at positions 524 to 776 of the family's 1533-position model. The record is from RNAcentral.